This is a non-coding RNA of Anas platyrhynchos (mallard), 10989 nucleotides long. The record is from RefSeq and is a predicted model, not a curated record. NCBI's taxonomy places the organism in Eukaryota, Metazoa, Chordata, Aves, Anseriformes, Anatidae.
CCCCUGGUCUUCCCCUAAAUGGGGGCACUGUCAGUGUACCCCCCAGGUCCCUAAAUGGGGGCACCGGCACGGUGUGGGGACACGGGUGACACUACCCAAAUGGGACUCAUCAUGGUGUGUGGGGACACAGGGUCCCCCUCCCCAAAUAGGAACUGUCAGGGUGCGUGGGGACCCUGUCACAGUGCCCUCCCCCCCCUCCAAAAAAAUGGGGACACCAUCACAGCGUACGGGGACACGGGGUGCCCCCUCCCCCUAAUAGGGACACCAUCACAACCCCCAAAUCGGAACCAUCGCGGUGUGUGGCAACACAGCUGACACCCCCCACCCCCCAAAAAAAAAAUAAUAGGGCCACCACCCCAUUGCGUGGGGCCUUGGGGUUGCCCCCCCGUGAUCCACCCUGGGCGUGGGGCUGCCCCUACCCCACCUACAUAUGGGGUGGGUGCUGUGUGGAUCCUGUGACCCCCAAAAUUUUGGUAGCCAGAAAAUGUUUCGUGGUCCCGCGGCUGCCGGGAGGAGGUUCGGAACAAAAAUAAAUGGAGAAGAAGUGGGUGCAAACGGGGAUGGGAUCCAGGAGAACUUUGCUGUAGUGUGUCAUAAAGGUGUGUUUGAAAAUAUAUCAGCAAGGCUGCACCAAAAUCCGGGAGAUUCGAAGUCAGCUGCAGUUCUUAGAGUUUGUCGGGUCAAAAAAAUGUUUGUUUUUUUUUCUUUUUGACUGGUUUAUGGAUUGGAAGCGUUGUGUUUGCUGCUUUUUGUGGGAUUUUAACCUUCUGGCUGGACGUGGUGCUUGUGUCUAAGCUCACAAUGGCACCCUGCUGCCUGCUGUGGUUAUUCCUUCUUGGUGUGAUUUCUCACCCCAUCCCCGCACCGAAACACAGGAGGAAAUGCUGAAUUUGGGGACACGUUGGUGCUGCUGGGGGCCGCAACGAGGCCACGUUGCUUCCUGCCCCCCCGUAGGGCUCAUCGAGUGCGUGCAACCCUGGCUGGGGAGCUCUGGUGACCAUGGUUGUGUAGCCCUGAAGUUUUACGGUGAGCAUUUACCUCUUGGCAAAGCAGGAGGUCACCCCAAAGUCCCUAAAACUGGAAUUUUGGGCUCUGCUUUCUGCCUGGCCACAUUACCCACCCUAAUAAUCCACGGGGAUCGCUUAAGGGAGGCCAUAAACGCUCCCCCCUGGGGCCGAGCUCCCAAGCGCCGCUCUAAUGAGCCCGUUCUGAACGCUGCUUAAUGAAAUCUUGUCCUCGGAGGCUCUUUUAUUCCGUGUGAUGCUCCGUGCCCCUGUGAACGUGUGGAGUUUGAUUUUUGGGAGGCCGCUCGGAAGGGUCAAGAGCUCAACAUUCGGCGUGGAGGCGCCGCAGCAGGAAAGAAGGGAUGGAAAAUAACCACGGAGGACAGGAGUGGGUGGCCAAGCGUGGAAAGGAGGAGCUCAGCGCUCAGGAUGGAACAGCAAACCUGCAUUUUAUGGGGUGCUGAGGGGGCUGGACCCCCCCCUCAGGAAUAAAAUCAUCUAACAAUCAUCACGUCUGCGCCUUUCCCGCAGGGGCAGCAGCCCGGGGCUUGAAUUCGCAAGCAAUUAAAAGCCCAGCCUUAGCUUUGGCCCCGGCUUGACACUUGAAAGAUGAGCAAGGUGAAGCAAUUCCGGCUUUCGGAGCCGUGUUUGACCUUUCAGGUUUCCUUUUCGACUCCGUCUGCUGCGUUGUAAAACAACGCCACGGUUCAGCUCCAACAAGGGUAAAACCCAGCGUAAAGCAGCGAGCUGGGGAGCCCAGCCUUGGGUACGCUGAAAAACAACGAGGCUGAAGGAACAGAAUUGCUCCAAAUCGCCCCAAAUCACGGCGGCAGGGUGCAGAAAGCAUCCGCCUCGCUCUUUUCUUUGUUUUUUUGGUUUUUUUCCUCUCCGGUUUUGCAGGUUUGAGCCAGGGGUCCAAGAGCAGAACCUCGGUCGCGUGGAGGAGGCAGCCAACGUCCUGCUAAGGCCCUGGCAGGGGGAAGAGCUGCAGAAAAGUGGCAGGAUCUGCCUGGUGGAUGGAGGGGGCAGGCUGAGAAACCAGCUCCAGCCCCUGGAUGAUGCCAGGCACCGCUUGCUCAGGGCUGACAGGGAGGGAAAGGCUGCACGGAGGAUAAAAUAAACCUCAAGCCUCGCACCGAGCCAGCUCCACGCAGCUCAUGCUGUGCAUUUGUAGCCCUCCCUCCCCAAAAAAAAAAGGUCUGAAUGGGGAGAAAUCAGUGUGAGAAAGCACGCCUGAGGAACGUGAAAUGGUGACUCCUCGGGGAGCUGUGAGGAUUCGAGGUUAAGGAUUUCUGUUUAUUUUUUAACAUUAUGAAUGAAGAAUGCUCAGGUUGCCCAAAGUCGUUCCCUGCUCUGUGGAUCCGAUGUUCACACCGAUGCUCUUACCCUGCAGCGUAAGCUCUCCCACAGUUUGCACCAUGAGGAGAGAACCUUGGACUGUUUUUAACUUAUUCCAACAUUGUUAUUGGGGAAAAGUGCCCGUAUAACUACAUAAAUAUGGACGGAAGCGCUUAUUUUAGCAGAAAUGUGCACAAAAACCUCAAGUGGAGCAGUUCCUAAAGGGAUCAGAGGCUUCUGAGCGAGCUUCCAGAGGACCCGGUGACCAGCAGAAGUGGGUGACAUUUGCAGGGACUUGCUCAUCUCCUUUUUAUGGAAGGAAGGAAGAAGGAAAUAAGGAAGGAAGGAAGAUAACCAACAUUUUUCCCGUUCAUAACCAGGUACGAAAACCUUACAGAGGUCGUUUUGCCAGAGCAGGGCUUGUGCCAUCCUAUUCUUCGUGGCACGCGGCUCCUGUGCUGGAGCUGCCUGGUGUCUGCCCGGCUCCAGCCGUCCUCUGCCUGCACCCUCCUGCGUGGACUUGCCCGUAGGAGCCUCAUUGCCGAAAAACAGCCUAAUUACAGCAUUUAGCAACCAAGCCCUGCUCCUGCAGCCUCCUCCCUGUGCUUUGUGGCUGCCCCGGGGGCAAAGCCUGAGUCCAGCCCCAAAGCCGCAUCCUGUCCACUGCCCAAGGCGGCUCCCCAGCCUCAGUGGUCUCCGAAAAGCUCUUUUAGCCUUUUGCUACGCGAAACAUUCAAAUUUUGCUGCUUUUUGGGGCCAGAAAUAGGCGGAAACUGCAUUUUUCGUGAGCGUCAGAGGAGAGGAAAGCCAGUCAUAAAACGAGCUGGCUGUCCAGAGCUGCUCUGCUUCGAAUUUUCUUCCGAAGGCAAGGAUUUAAAACCAGGAGGAGUGCGAACAUGCCUUCACCCGACAGCCUGGAGGCUUGGCUUGGUAUUUACUUAACGGGGCACGAGGUGAUGGGCGUUUAAUCCCAAAGUUAUGUGAGAAAAUCCCGGGAAUGGCCCGUUCCCAUCAAAGUGACUCAGGGACCAAUUUAGCAGAGGGCUGGCGGCGGGGUCGGGCUGCUCGCUGUUCCCAGCUCGCCUUCCAGUUACCCCGCAGCUCGCUGACUCACUUUUGGUGUUCUCUCCGUGACUUUGGGGCUUACGGAGGCGGGGAAAUCUGCUCGGGGCGGCUUUGGUGCUGGCCCAGAUAAUUGCUAUUGUUCGCAGAGCGCACGAAACGGGCUCGAUGUGGGAUUAUAAAAAAAGAGAAACCCACCAAAAACCUGCUACUUUCUGGGGUGGGAAGGUUGCUACCAAAAAUCCAGUGUUUCACAGAGACCAGUUUGGCCUUAAACGAGUGGCUUUUGGUCACGCUGAGCUGCUUGGCUCGUGCCAAAUCCCGUCCCGGUUUUGCCGUGUGCGCGUUCAGGAGUCAGGAAGAAAAUCCCUUUUUGUUUCCAGGUAACUGCAGCCGAUUCUCUCGAAGGUAUUUGGCUGUGUAAGGGGUCAGCACUUCGGUGCGCCCCCAGCAGCUGGUAUUUUGGGUUCCAGUGCAGAAAUCCAGAAAUCCACGGUGCGAACGAGUGCGUGCCCGCUCCCUCCUCUUCCUCACCUUCCCCUCGGCCUCUCCUGAGGCUGCAGCGGGUUGGGGAGGUGAGGAUCAGAGAAAAGGCCAGGAGGCGAGGGGUAACAUGUCGUGUACAUUUCUUUCUGUAUAAUUAUGCUCUGGGCUGCCACGAGCCACGUGGCGGCGUGUCCCGCGGGUGGCUGCGUGCCUGGGCCGCGUGCUGGGAAGGUGAGAAGUUCACCGGGCUCGGUGACAUUUGCUGUCACCCCUCGGAGGGUUUGAGUCCUGUGGGGCUGAUUUUUAAAGCCGUUCGGAGCCAGGACACGAGCUCUGCCCUGCUGGGGACGGGGCUUUUGGGAUAACACGGACCCCAAAGUGAAUUAAAUCCCAGGACGCUGCGGUGGUUGGCAUCACAUCGUGGGUUUUUGUUACUUCUGAGUGUUUAAUCCUUUAAAUCUGAAAGCGAAGGUGUCGAGCACUCACUGUGGGUUUCUUAUUUAUUUAUUUAUUUUUUUACAUGUGACACUAUUGGUGUGUGUAAUCCCAAGGUUUUAUUUCUGUAGGGGAAAAAAGCCCGGGCUGAUUCUCAGAGCCUUAGCGUGAACCUAGCGAGCUGUUCAGCGCUGUGAAAAGAGGUAGGAGGGGAAGGAAGAUUUGUCUUCCAGAACACAGCCUCCUCGGCCCUGCAGCCUGACUGCAAACGGGUGCCUUACGGCUCCCUUGGGUGCUGCUGGGGGAAAAUCACCCCCCUUUCAGCCUCCUGCUCUCCCCUUUGGAAUUCGGUGCCCCCAGUCCACCCACCCUCGAUGCCAACAGAUAUUUGGGGGCCUCCUGCCUCGAAGGAGCUGCCCUGUGUCCCUCCGAAGCUUGUCUUUGUGGUGAUGCCCGGGGCAGGCUGACCGUGUUGGGGUGUUGGGGUGUGAAACCUUCACCCCAGGUGAGCUGGGAGCUGUGAUACCACAGCUCCUGAGGGUGGGGGGAUCAAUCAUGGGCCUUUCCUCUUCCUCCAUCAGCUUUUAGCCAGCAAUUUGCCCUUCUUCUAUAACACACCGACUCCUGUGAAGGCCAAACAGCACGAAACGCUUUAUUACUACAGGUGGUAACUUACUCAGCACCCUACACCUUGCAUCCUCCCAAACAGUUCCCUUUUUUCCACGCUUGGAUCAAACACCCCGAGUCCUAACCCCUGACCCAUCCGAGCUGCCCGGGAGCUUUUUGUAGGGGCCAGAAAGGUGAGAUUCCUCUCCGUCAGGAACAAAACACCCGAUACCAAGCGCUGACACCGUGCCAGGGCUCUGCCAGAUCGCUGCCUCCUCUGCUCCUGCUUCACGUGAGCGGCCGAAAUCUGUUCCUCCUGCUCUGAUGGAUGCUGCGAGCCAACCUGCUGGGAAAACCUCAGCUGGAGGCGUGGAGGGGGUGGUUUCGUUGCCACCUCGGCUCUCCUGCAAUUAUUUCCUAGCAGAAGCCUGGAUUUCAGCUGGAGGGGGGUGGGGGGGAAAAACCCCGGAGAGGAGAAUAACCAAGCAACCAAACAACCAGGGGGAGAGGCGCCGAAUCCUGGCCCACCCCUGGUUUUUGUCGCCUGGCUUUGUAACGUGGUUAAAUAACGCCAAGAUGAGCACAAUGCAAGCAGAACAAAUUAGGCUUCGGCACCAGAAUCGUGGGAGGGGAAGGCUCUUACACUGCUCUCGUGCCUCCUCGCCUGAGCAGCAUCCUGCCGCGCUGCCUUCCCACCCCGUGCUGCUGGUCCUACAAAAGCCGUUUAAUUUCUUUUUAAUUUUCUUGUUUAAUUUCUUUUUGGGGGUUUGCUAACGGGAGGCGUCGCGUUGCAGGUGGCAGGCUCUGCCAGCUCUUAGGGUUCUCCCUUCUGUGCCCUGUUUAUCCAGAUAAGGUCUUUUGCUCGGUUUUUGGCCCGUGUGGCUCAUCCGAAGUUCAUGGGCAUCGUAGGAAAUGGGAUUUUGUAGGACGUUGAAGUGCCAAACCUUUUUUAAAGCCUCUGUUUUCUGCUCCUGGCGGGUUGGGGUCUGUGUGCGAGGGGCUGCGUCUGCUCCGGCCCUAGUGGGGUUGGAAAAACUUCUCUUUCUGCCUCUAAUUUAAUAGGGGAUCACACGGGGCUGUCUGGAAACCAGCCUGCAGGGCAGAUCACCAAAAGCUGCUCCCAAAACUUUGCUCUCCUGAGUCUUGAUGACUGGAUGGGGGCCUUGCCUUGUGCCCUGCUGUCUCUGAGCUCCUGCAGAGGGGCCCCGCUGCCCUGUUGUGCCCGAGCUGCUGGAGCACUGCAGGUGUCUCCUCCUCUGAACCCGCUGGGUUGAUGCUCCGCGCCUGAUUUUAAGGACCUGAAACCCAAAAGGCAAACUGGAACAGAUCUGGGAGAGCUUCUGUCUAGACUAAGGUCAGCUGAGCUUAUUACGGCUCUGUUUAAAUUACAGGAAUAUUUUCCAGCCCUCAAAGGAGGAACGUGGAAGCUGCAGUUGGAGACCUCUCCCUGCUCCCUACUCCAGGAUGGUCACCUCACGUUGUUUUAUUCUCCCCAAAAUCACCAGGAGUCCUUCUUUCAGCCCCUCUGACGUGAUGCCGUGUCACCGUACCCCCUUUCCUUUUCCUCCCUAAGAAAACCGAAAAUUUACUUGCCUAAACAAACCAAAAGUUUCGCUUCUGCUCUGGCUUUGGCUCACCCCCAGCUUCUGCACGCACGGGGCGCUCGCUGGGGACAGAAACAGAAGCAGCAGUUCCCAGAACAAAACAGGUUUGUGUUUUGUGUUUUUCCCUUUUUUUUUUUUUUCCUCCUUUUUGCGUCAACAACCUCUGCGACAAUCCAGGCUUUUAAAUGGGCUUAAAUUGGGUUAUUCAGUGCUAAUGUUAUGCAAGACUCCUGAUUAGCGGUGUGUGGAGCCUUGAGUUGCGAGACGACUCGGAGCUGUGAUGGAAUUAAGGUAACCAUGGCAACUAUUAUCAUUAAAAUCGGCUCCAGCCCGGGCUGGUGCUGGAGCCCUUGGCCUGGCUGCUGCGUGUGGCACUGCGAGGCCUUUCCCCAUGAAGCUGCCAGCUUCCUCACGUGCUUUUUCAGCCUUUCUUCCCCUAAAAGUCCAGUUUUUAAGCACGGAGCUGCCAAGUUUUUGAGCACAGGGCACUCCUCACCCGAGGAGUGGGUCCGGGUGAUCACGGCCCGCUCACCCUUAGUGGCUCCUCCAGCUCAUGCGCAGUCAGGUCCCCUAAUUUGGCUUAAUUAUACCAGCUGCUGGCUCUGGGAAAAACAUUCUCCAAUGAUUUUUACCUGUUUAUUUCAACGUUGUCUUACUCCUGAGCGAGGACUCACCCGCAGAUGUCUCUGGAUGCGUUCAGCAGUGCUGGUUCAUCCUCCCAACCCUCCUUUGCGUGGUCAGCGCUCCUUGCUGCUGAGUCCUCGCUGAAUUUUGAGCUGUUCUGCCCUUUUUGGACCAGCUUCUUUGCUGCACUGCCUCGAGCAGCUGGCUUUCAAACGGGUCCUUCAUCCUGGAGGAGAGGCAGAGGAGGAGAGGGGGACAAGAGCAUUUCUCCUGUGCUGCCACCCUUCGCCAUCGUGUCUUGGGAUUGGCAUCUCGCCUGUCUCUGAGCUUGCCAUCAAGUAGGAUGAAGGUGUUUGAGGUCUCUGCUGGCCUUCUGCCCCUUAUUAAUCGGGAAUUAUUCAUGGGGAAUGCGAGGAGAUGGGAUGCUGCCACCUGUGGCUCUUCCUGGUGGGCUCAAGGGCACGGUGAGGACGUGGUAACGGAGCCUCUGUCACUGGGAAAUGCUCCACAAAGCUUUUGGUUUGUAAAUAGCUUUGGUACGGGUGGUAGCCCCUAAUGUUUAACUGAAUACGGUCCAAGUUGGUGCAGCAGUAGGAGUAAAAAGAAAAGGAGCAGAAAGGUGAAAAUAAAUUGAACUUGUUUCAACUUGUUGGGGGGAGCCCUCAACAACUACAAGGAUCCUCAGCUGAGAAUAGUAAGGAAGGAGAGAUGUUCUGCAGGUGGAUGUGCAAGGACCCGUUCUCACCCACGUGGCGGAGGAAAAUAAACUCUCCUUGUGCAGGACGCAGCCUCCUGUGGAUAGGAGGGGACUUUUAAAGGAAGGAGGAGAGGAAGAGAAGCUCCACGUGGUUCUCCAGCUGAGCUUUUUUGUGGUAUUAAAUCGACCUUGGGCCAGUUGCUCCAGCUACUUGUACCUCCCUCCGAUAAAUCGGGCAGUGUCGCUUCUCUCCCCUGAGUGGGGACGCCUGCUUCAUCGAGUGCUCUGUGCGGUGUCCGUACAGCGCUGCUCGAAGACCCUUUGCAGCUACAAGAUGGAUGAAAUGAGAAUUUCCUGGUGCUUUUUUGGGGUGCUUUCCCCCAGCUCUGCCCUCCUGCAGCCCUUCCGUGUCCUGUGGCCGCACCGCUCCACGCUCCCGAUUCCUCCCUGCCUGCUGACCCACUGCUUCUCCCAGCCAUUCCCCUCCUCCUGCAUAAACCCUGCUCCAUCGUGGUCUUCAGGACUCAUUUUUUGGACAUCCACAGAGAUCCAGGAGAGGGUGGAAGCAUCCCAGGAGGGUAGGAAGGAGCGUGGGGGCGUGCAGAGAGCUCACCAAAAGAGUGGCCGUGCUCCUGGCUGCCUGGUGCUUGUGCUCUUCCAGGAGGCUCCGUGCCCCACGGGAUUUCCUGAGCUUUUAGAGGGAAACAGUCAGCAAAAUGACCCUUUAGAGGGAAACACUACAGCAAAACGACCCCAAAGGAGUCAUCUCAUACACAUAAAGUGUUCUCAGUCGCCGUGCGUCGCGAGACGGCUGCCACGAGACCUCUCCUCCUGCCUCGCCUUUCUUCCGAGGGGCGUUAGCUGCUGGCACAGCAAUCACAAAAUGCCAGAGCAGCUGCUUUUCCAGCGUGGAAAGUCUGACCAAGCCGGGUUUUUGGAAGUUGUGUGAGGCAGGACUGGAGCUGUGGCAGCAGCUCGGGCUGAUUCAUCGAGCGCGCGUGUGAUUUUUGGAGGCUCUUCCUUCGGUAACCCAGCGGCAGAACCAAGUAGGUGCACGCAGCCCCGCUGAGCUUCCCGGACACAGCUGGAGCUGCACAAAGCUUUUUUCAUACCGCAGGGACCCCGAGCUGCUCUUUUCUCCCGUGUGUUCGUUUGUUCUUUGUUUCCUGCUCUUUGUCCUUGCUUUAAAGGAACAGCAGCCUGCCGAUGGUGGCACUGAUAAGAGGGUGUUGAUAAGGGUGGUACGGAAGGGGAAGGGGCAGCCUCGCGCUAGAUUUGUGUGCAACCACAGACCAGCAUCGAGCAGAAUUUAGGUUCUCCCUCCCCACUUAAAAAUUAACCAAGCAUCUUUAAGAAAUUUAUCCUCCAGCUUCAUCCAGGAGGUGAAAGGAGCCACGGGCUCUGCCAAGCUUCGUCUUCGAGCUCAGAGGAAUUCUGCUCCUUCGCCGGUUUCUCCCCUUGACAGGGCAGGGGGAAGGGUGACCUCGGGCAGAAAGGCAGGGCAGAAAUCCGUGCCAGCGAGCCCCGACGAGUGAGUUUGGUUCACCCGUCCCACUUCACCCUUCCCCUUCUGCCCGGAGGUUGGGCAAGGCUGCUGAAUCACUUGGCUGAUCCCCCGAGGGAUCCUGCUCCUGCUCCCACCUUCCUGCACCUCCUCUUUCAGCCCUUUUGGCUCCUCUUGCAAAACAAAUUGAGGGCGGCGGGGCUGGGGAGCAGUGCGUGGACCAGCAGGGAGGAGGAGGAGGAGGAGAAGGGUGAGUGGAGGAAGAGCAGAGCAGCCUUUCCCUUCCAGCUCAAGCAGCUCUUCAUCCACAGCGCCAAUUAACAGCACCCUGAGUCGUUUGCUGCCUCUCUCUGCAGUCUCCCUGCUGACGAGUCGGCGGCUGCCAGGGAAUUAAAAACGUUCCCUUCAAGGAGGAUGACGGCAGCGGGUGUGGGCAAAUUCGUUUUCCAAAUUGUCAAGAACGAAGCAGAAGAAUCCUCCAGAGCUCCCGAGCCGUCAAGCUUCCUCGUCGCUAGUUAGUUUCUGAGAAAUUUGGAACGGAGGAACAGAAAUGUCACGGAACAGAUUUCGGAAACAAAUAGAGAGGGGGAGAACAAGCAGCAAACCAGCAGAAGGGCACGUUCCCAGCACGUUAUAAUACAUCAGGUUGGCAAAUACCUCCCUGUGCAGAGGAGCACCGUGCUGUAAAAGCUUUCUUCGUGCCGCUGAGGUUUGCGUUGUUUUUCCCCAAAAAGGGGGACGGCGCUUGCAGUAAGCACUUGCGUUGUGUGCAGGUUUAGGUGCCUGAAUCUAAUAUUUGGGUCUUAAAAUAACCGAGAGCUGAUGGAAAGCAGAGUAGGUGAGCUGAAUUUCCCGGGGGCUUUGCCGGGGAUGCUGCAGGUGAGGAGGCAGAGCCCUGCGCCCGCCUGGGCAGGGAAGAGGGUGGUGGAGAGACCAGCCUGGUUCCCCCAGCGGGUUGGGGUGGCCUCGGUGACCCUAAAUGUGCUCCCCUGGGGUUGUGUGGGGCUGGCUGUGUUUAGAUUUGUGUGUUGGGGUCUGGGUUUCCCACAAACACAGACUGGGGAACGGGAGUGUGGCAUAACAGGGGGCUUGGAAAGCAGGCCGGCACGCCGUGGCUCUUCCUGCUGAAGGAAGAGGCUUUCCAGAUCUCGGUGCCAAAUUGCCAGUGCUCUUUUAACCUUGAUCACAAAUGGCUCUGUUUUAGUUGUCAGAAGUCCCUUUAUCCCCGUAUCCUUUAUCCCCCUCAGCACUUACUCCUUUGGUUUAUUUAUUGCCUGCCCACAGCCAGGUUUUCAAACCAAAGCUCGCUCCUCGGCGCGUGGUUUUUGGUUUGUGUGUGGUUGGGUUUUGACUUCGCCUCUUGAUUUCUGUCCUCUUCAUAACCAACGUUAAAUAAAUCCUUAGGAAGCCAAUGAAACAUCCUUCAGCAUUCUUGUUCUCACCUGGUGAACACGAGGGAAGAGUUUUUCUCUUUCCUGCCCUGGCCAGCCCUCAGCCGUGCCGUGAUGGACAAACUGGAGCUCCCCGAGAGCAGAGCAGUUUAAAAGUGCUCCACGCUGGAAAUGUCCCCUGGAACCACUUCUCCAUCACUCCCCCAGUUCUUCUCCUUAAAUUUUAUUCCCCUCUAAU